This 209-nucleotide ribosomal RNA is filed under the name uncultured bacterium. RNAcentral's name for it is "partial 16S ribosomal RNA". It matches the Rfam family "Bacterial small subunit ribosomal RNA", at positions 567 to 774 of the family's 1533-position model. The record is from RNAcentral.
UUGCGUAGGUGGUUUGUUAAGUAGGUAGUGAAAUCUGGCGGCUCAACCGUACAGGCUAUUACCUAAACUGGCAAACUCGAGAAUGGUAGAGGUAACUGGAAUUUCUUGUGUAGGAGUGAAAUCCGUAGAUAUAAGAAGGAACACCAAUGGCGUAGGCAGGUUACUGGACCAUUUCUGACACUGAGGCACGAAAGCGUGGGGAGCGAACG